This is a long non-coding RNA of Callithrix jacchus (white-tufted-ear marmoset), 8929 nucleotides long. RefSeq lists it as uncharacterized. NCBI's taxonomy places the organism in Eukaryota, Metazoa, Chordata, Mammalia, Primates, Cebidae. The record is from RefSeq and is a predicted model, not a curated record.
CAGUAUAAGGCCUCAGUCUACACCAGCACAGAACAGGGCCAUGACUUUUGAAAUUAGAUACAUCCUCGUUCCUCCAUUCUGUCCCAUGGAUUUCAAAGAGACUUCCAGGCAGGUCUGCAUGUAUUGCAGGUAUUAGAGAUGAAGAAACUCUGUAGAGAGACAAAGACACAGGACAAGUGAGCAGCACGGCGAGCGAAUGAACCUUGAUUGCUCCUGACUUCAAAUCCUGAGAUGGUAACUAUGGUACUCCACUGCUGCUAAGACAAGCACUGGUCCAAGGAAAGUGUGCUCUGGCAGUGAGGUGGUGAUAAGCGAUAAGAGAGGGGAAAAUCAUGGCCGGGCACGGUGGCUCACGCCUAUAUUCCCAGCACUUUGGGAGGCCGAGGCGGGUGGAUCACGAGGUCAAGAGAUCAAGACCAUCCUGGUCAACAAGAUGUAGAAUGAGGCAUAAAAUGAAGAAACUUGUUCCAGAUUAUACAAAUAUUAAGCAACAGGAUAAAACAUCAGACAAUCUGGCCCCAAAGCCAGUUCUCCGAUCCUCUGUGUUACGGCUUUAAGUGCUACAACUUCUGCAAAAGUGCUCUAGAACUUUAUGAGUAAAGAAAUGAUGUAUCUAGGAGGCGGUGCAGGAUGAGCCGUGACUGCAGGUGUUCAUACAACUUUUUACCCUUUGACUCCCUGAGGAGUUUAUCUUUGCUUCUCACCCUGCGGGAGCCCUUGCCUCAGACCAGAAGAGUUAUCAUUAGAGGCAGGUGGGAGACAGCCCUUCUGUGUUGAAAAAAAUGCUCUCUAGCCAGGCCUGGUGGCUCAUGCUUAUAAUCCCUACACUUCGGGAGAAUGAGACAGGAGGAUCGUUUGAGGCCAGGGGUUUGAGACCAGACUGAGCAACAAAGAGAGACGACAUCACUACAAAAAAAUAUUUAAAAAUUAGCUGGGCAUGGUGGCACAUACCUAUAGUCCCAGCUACUCAGGAGGCUGAAGUGGGAAAUUCCUUAAGCCCAGAGUUUCAGGAUGUAGUAAACUAUGAUCAUGCCACUGUACUUCAGUCUGGGAGUCAGAGAAAGACCCUGACUCUAAAUAGAUUAAAAAGUUAAAAAAAAUUUUUAAAUGCUUCCAUGUGUUACCUGUGAUAGACUGAGUUUCUAGUACUCUUUGUCUACAUAACUUCAGGUAAUUUAUGAACCAACUAAAUUUAUUGUUUGUUACAAGUCGAUGGAAAACUCCUUUGCAUUCUAACCAAACGUUUAAAAGAUAAAGUCAGCAAUGCCUAUGUUUCUUCCAUCCUAUUACAUAACCGUAAACUAGCAGACCUUGGGCGAACCUUGCUGGGUACCUAUUGGAUUUGACUGAGAGAUGCCUCGUGAGUUAAGUUCACAUUCCUCUUACCAUGACCACCAUUUCAGAGACAGAUACCACUACUUCCUAAGGGGUCAAGAGGGAGGCUGUUCUUACCAUCCCAAAAAAGAUGAACAAUAAAUGAGAUUUUGAGAUUCUGAAUUCUCCCUCAAACUGCUACACAGAAAACACUCCUUAUUGGUAAGGUCUCACUUACGCUGACCUAUUCCAGUCUCCUUUCAUUUAGUGCGUAGGACUUUCAUUUAGUGUCCAAGACUAAAUGAGACUGCCCUACUGGGCAGGAGAAGCACAAGAACAAGAGAACAACUAAAAACCAGUCUUCUUUUAGUGCAACUCUAAUUGUUCACCUCUUUAUUUUAGGAUCUAAAAGUAUAAAUUUAUUUAAACUAUUUCCAUGACCUUUUGCUCAAGUAGUUAACAAAUGAUUAAAUUGUAAUCUAAAACCUUAUGUUUUAGUAAGAAAAUAAAAAAUGCAAUGGGCUGGGCACGGUGGCUCAUGCCUGUAAUCCCAGCACUUUGGGAGACUAAGGUGGGUGGAUCAUGAGGUCAGGAGUUCAAGACCAGCCUGGCCAACAUGGUGAAACCCCAUCUCUACUAAAAAUACAAAAAAUUAGCCAGGCGUGGUGGCAGGUGCCUGUAAUCCCAGCUACUCAGGAGGCCGAGGCAAAGAAUCGCUUGAACCCAGGAGGUGGAGGUUGCAGUGAGCUGGGACCGUGCCACUGGACUCCAGCCUGGGUGACAGAGCAAGAUUCUGUCUCAAAAAAAAAAAAAAUGCAAUGAAGGACCUUGAAACAAACAAUCAUGUAGCCAUUCCUAGUUUUUAGAAAGAAAAAACACUUUUAUUCAUACAUAUUCAUAGCCACCUAAAUUAUUGCUUUUUCAUAAAUAUAAUAGUAAGAAUGAGAAAACAUCAAAUUACUUUUCUUGAAAUUUGCAUAAGCAAAAGAAAAGAUGUACAAUGCAGUUCUACUCCUGAACAAAAAUGUCCCUCAUUAAUGGAGUAAUAGAUCAUAAUAAUGCUAAAUUUCCCCAAUGAAUAAAAAAGGCAAAAAAUAGUAUAUGUAGUCAUAUUUUUCCAUUUAUUGCUGUACAUGAUCUUCAUUUAAAGUAAUCAUACCAUUAUAAUUAUGUAAGGAUUGCACAAAUAUCACCUUAGAAUAAAUAAGAUAGCUUUAAACAUCAACAUAGGAACAGCUUGUGCAUUCCCCUUCUUUGUUUUACAUGAUCUCAUACAAAUUUUUGUGGCAUUUUUAGAUAGGUCAGAAGAGAAAUUAAUCUGGUAUUUACACCAACCUUACAUUGACUGUCUACAUAGUCUGUGUUAACAGGGUGGCAGGGUGAAUCUGUGAUGUAAAAGUCCCUGUCUGCCCCACCUGCCUUGUUCCAUGAGAAAAGAUGUACCCAACACUCUCAUCCUCAGUUCUUGGGUCCCACUGAAUGGAACUGGCUCCAGGAAAUCCUUGUGAAUUAGCUUAAAAUCUAAAUUAUUUGAAAAGGAUGGAUGUUAUUGAACCACUUCAGUUUCCCUAAUGUUAUAUGAGAACGCAAAGGUAAAAAUUGAUCAGCAGGGUCCACAGAUUGAUUUAUGCGCAGGAUUUAUUUUCCUGCUUCGACUUGAAGAGGACUUCCAAGCGGGCUGCAAGCCAGAGAACAACCAGGUGCAAGGGAAGCUCACAUCCUUUUACCUGACAGACUACUUCAUCAGUAAACACAGGAAACAAUUGUUCCUACCAAAUGUCCUUGAAUGUGAAUAAGCUGCUUCAUGGAUCAAAAUGUCCCUUUCCUUUAUCUCUCUGAAUCCCAGACUUUUAACCUUUGAAGGUGGUUUGUGAGCUUUGAAUCUAUGGUUUCCACCUAAGUCCGUGAUUAAAACACAAUACCAACAUUCCCUUCGUGAUAAACUAAAAAUCAUUCUUAAAAAAGAAAAAUUGAAGGGUUAUUCAAACAACUUACAAAUUUAUUUGCCAUUAGCACUUCUAUUGUUUUUGAUAACUGCCGUAAGUAUGGAUUUGUAGUUUUUGCUGUAGUGAGGGAGUAUAAAGUAAUGGAAAGAAAACACUUUGAAAUCUAACAUCUAUGGGUUCUGUUGUUUAGUAGCUAUCUGUAGCUAUACAAUCUUGAACAAGGUGCUUAAUCUUUCCAAUCCUUAUCUAAAUCAUCUGAAAGCAUAAAGCAACACACUGCUCCUCAUUAGACGACAAAGGUAUAUUGGCUUCAGACACUCAAGGUGGUAUUGAUCUUUAUAUAUUCACGCAUGGUCCUUUGGUUUUAUUAUGAAAAAUAUGUGCCACUGGAAUCAAGUCUAUUCAGCAGAGAUUUUUGUUUUUUAGAUGAAUACAGUGAAACUUAGAAAGCUGGUAAUGAGACUGACAAAGGACAAUUUAUCUAUCAUCAGAUUUCACAGAUUCACUGCAGUCAUGAUCUCUUCACACGCGGAUUUCACUGCUGCUUUGGAGACAAUAUGGUGCCACGGUCCUGGGAAGAGGCUUACAGUUAGACUUCCCUCCUUUCAUUUCUAGUUUUGCCCUUGCCAUUUAUUUAAUCUCUGUCAUUUUCAAAUUAUAUUUCUGCUUAAAUGAUGCUCUUCUCGCUGUAGCACCGUGAGAGAUAACAAUGGCACAUUUACAUGGACACUGUGGGGUUUAAAACUGAGAUGUGUAUGCAUUGUCUGUUUCUGUCGUUCUUCUCCUUUUCCUUUCCUGUUUUUUGAUGGCCAGGAGAAAGCUGUAUCUGUGAUGAAAGUCAGUGCAUUGAAAAAAAUCUCCCUUCUGGCUACAACUGACACAUUUGAGCAUGCUCUGGGCAGUGCCCUUACCAGAUACUCUGAGUCCUCCCAACUGAGUGGCUUUGUGCAAAGCUGCCCUGCUCACUGAUGAUUAGAACACCUAAUAAAAUCCAAAGGGCUUGAGGAAUUAGCCAGUCAUAGUAUUUGUUGGUAUACGAAUUCUGGGGGAAACUGCAGCAAUUAUCUCAAAAACCCCCAGAGAUCUAAACACUGUUCAUAGAAUAUGGUAUUUUAUAAUUUAUUGUAUCUAGAAUAUCUUAGUAGUAAUUUGGCUUCCAGAAAGUGCUCUCACAUUAGUAGGCAGCUAGAAUUAGACGCCAAAGACAAAAUAACAAAACAGGAUUUUGUGAGGGUAGAAUUUUCUCCAGCGUCCUCACUGCUAACCCAGGAGGAAUAAGCCCCUCUCUCUAUCCUGCGUAUUUCACAAAUCAACAGUACCCUGCUCGGUGUGUGCUACUUGUACUGUGCACUGAUUUUGUUUGCAUGCCUGCUACCUGCAAGCUGCUUGAGGUCAGUGCCAUAUUCACUUCUGUAUUCCCACGACCUAGCAUAUAAAAAGGUUUUACAGGCCAGGCAUGGUGACUUCCAACACUUUGGGAGGCUGAGGAAGGAGGAUCGCUUGAGGCCAGUUCAAGACCAGUUCUGGCAAUCUAACUAGACCCCAUCUCUACAAAAAAAUUUUUUUAAAUAAAUAAAUAACAUUUUACAGCAAAAUAAAUGGAUGGAUAACCAUGAAGUCUGCUAAUUUGAGAGGCAUCAUUUAGGCCAUUUUUGUUACCAUUUAGGACAUUGAUAGCUGUGUAUUUUCAAGAAGAGGCCAGGCACAGUGGCUCACAACUGUAAUCUUAGCACUUUGGAAGGCCGAGAUGGGCAGAUUGCCUGAGCUCAGGAGUUCGAGACCAGCCUGGGCAAACACAGUUAAAUCCAUCUCUACUAAAAUACAAAAAAUUAGCCAAGCAUGGUGGCUGGCAUGCGCCUGUAGUUCCAGCCACUCAGGAAGCUGAGGCAGAGAAUCCCUUGAACCCGGGACACAGAGGUUGCCGUGAGCCAAGAUGGCACCAUGCACUCCAGCCUGGGUGACAGAGUGAGACUCCAUCUCCAAAAAAAAAAAUAAAGUUAAGAAGAGAGAAAGUAUACUGUUUCAAAAAUAGUACUUAGGAGAACAAAGUUUUCUCUUUAAGAGCCUAAAAUCAUACGACAUGGGUAUUGCUGGGUUUCACUUCAUUUCUCCCUGAGUGAUCUUUGUUACCUGAAAAGUGAUCAGGAAUUAGUUUUACCUUCUCUGUCACUGGCCCUUUAUCUGCUGUUGCCUGCGUUCCUCUCCAUGCUCACAUCCAACAUGAAGACCUGCCUGUGACGGACAUCUUCCUCAAGACUCUAUGUCAAUCAUUUUACUCCUUUCUGUGGGUGAAUAUCAGAUCUUUCUGCAAGAGUAGAUUUUUUUCCCAUGGGUUCUUUCAUGUAAGAACUCAGGCAUGUUAGUUACUGGCAAAGUGAACAUAUCUCAAAACAAGUGGUUUUUUUUUUUUUUUUUUUUUUUGCUUGUUUGAGACAGACUGCUUAAAGUGAGAUUUAGUAAAGAAUAUUUUCCUUGAGUUUGAACCCAAUUCUUCAGAAGACAACAACAAUAACAUACAACUACCCUGCAUCUCCCCUGCCCCAUGCCUCAUCCUCCAUGAUCACACAGCAAAGCGUUUGAUUUUUAUCCUGUUUCAUCAAAAGUCUUGCCGUUGAUCAUGCUAGGUAUUCAUAGGAGUCAACUUUUGGUUUAAUUAUUUUAAUUCACCCUGUUAGAAAGGGAAGAUGGAGUGGGCACCGAAGCAGAGCACAUUUCAAGAAUUCACCUGGCUACAAUAAUAAUAGGCUUCUUCAAGCAGUAGGAUUUGAGCCUUUUACAGACUACCACUGUCCAUUUACUUAAAAUUAUCAUAGUCAAUCCAGACAAUACGCCUAAAAUUGCCGCUUUUACUUUUGUUUGUUCUCUUAUUAAAUUAGAUCUCUUUUGCUCCUACCCUACUCUGGAGCCCUGAUAUUUCAAUUACUUCAAUCAUUAUUUUGUAGAGAAAUAGAAACUACUCAUCAAAAGCUGGACAUAACUUCUUUGUUACUCUCACUCACUACUUUUAUAAGGGCACAGAUGACACUCUCCUUCAAGAGCUGUUUGACUUUUAUGAAAAUGAUCAAUCCAUAUUCAAGUUGCUACAUUAGUAUUUUAAAAACAUGUAAUUGUCUACUCUCACAUUAGAGUUAAUUAACUAUUCAAGCAAACAGCUCCCAAAACUUCACUGUGUUAGACACAAGGUUUAUUUCUAGUUCGCAUACAACUGAAUAUGAGCAAGCAAGAUCUAAAAGGCAGAAAAAGCAAAGAUAUUUUAGACUACAAUAUAUCUGACCAGGAAAGAAAGCUUGAUUGUCUUCUAUUAGACAUUUGAUUAAUAGUUAUUUACACACCCUUUGUUUUGCAAAUAGCAAAACAAUAAAAACUUACUAUACUUUACUGAACAAUAAAAACUUACUAACAUUUUAUAAAUAUUAGAUCGAGAUGAAAAUUAUAUGUAUCCUUACUGAAAUUUAUUCCACCUUCUAUUUUAUUAUCAGAAUAGAAUUAAUUGGAAGCUAGUGUUCCUCUUACAGACAAAUACAGCAUUUAUUUUUCAUGCUUCUUUCUUAGAGACAUAACUUAUAAUUUGAAACUGAACAUUUGGUCUGUGCAAACCAUAUUUGUAGAAACAUUUCAAUGGUCAAAAUGAAAUUUUCCACUGUAAGAGGCUGAGGCAGGAAGAUCACUUAAGCCCAGGAAUUUGACAACAGCCUAGAAAUGUAGUGAGACCCUAUCUCUACAAAAAAAUUAAGAAUAGCUCAGUGUGAUGGUGUGUGCCUAUAUUCCCAGCUACUACAGAGGCUGAAAUGGGAGGAUUGCUUCAGCCCAGGAGGUCCAUUCUGCAGUGAGCCAUGAUCACGCUGCCGUACUUCAGAGAGGAUGACAGAGCAAGACCUCGUCUCUAAUGAAGUGAAUACAUAAAUAAUUUUUGUACUUAGGACUGGAGUAAAUCAAAAUCUUACACAUCUAUUCUCUCAAAUUUAAGAUGAAAAUGUGUCUUAUAUGAAAGGCUAUUUAGUAUAGUCAUUGAGUUUUUCGUGGCAAUGUGUCAGCUGACAAUUUUUCCACUCAAAUGGUAACAGUAAGGGGAGGUGAUAUUGGCAGAAGAAAUAUACUAUUACAAAUGUGCUCAUAGAAUAAAAUACAGUUGUGAAAAUGUGGAUGGAGAAGCAGUGACUACCUAUUACUGACCUUUAUACUCAAAGCAGAAAACACUAUAUUGAUAUAUAUUUGGACUGGGCUUCAUUUUCUAUUUCACAGGAUUCCGUGACUGGGUUUAAGCUUACCAUGCUAUUUGUUUUCUGUUUGUCUCACUGAUCUUUUUUCUUAUUUAGUCUUCCUUUCCUGACUUCUUGUAGAUUAAACAAAUAGUUUAUAGUAUUCAAUUUUUUUCUUCUUGGAGGUUUUUUAGCUAUCUCUCUGUUUCUUUUUACAUUUUUGAUGGUUCUUUAGUGACUAAAGUAUGCCUCCUUAGUUUAUUAUAAUCCACUGUAAAAACUUUACCACAGGCCGUGGGCGGUGGCUCUCACCUGUAAUCUCAGCACUUUGGGAGGCCAAGGUAGGCAGAGGUAGGCAGAUCACUUGAGGUCAGGAGUUUGAAACCAGCCUGGCCAACAUGGUAAACCCCAUCUCUACUAAAAGUAGAAAAAUUAGACAGGCAUGGUGGUAGGUGCCUAUAAUCCCAGCUACUCAGGAGGCUGAGGCAGGAGAAUUGCUUAAACCUGGGAAACAGAAGAUUAGCCAAGAUGGCACCUCUGCACUCCAGCCUGGGUGACAGCUAGACUCUGUCUCAAAAAACAACAACAAAAAAACACUUUACCACAGUAUAAUUUUCUUUACUCCUUUUUUAGUCCUAUUUCAUAUUUAAUUUCUAUAUCUAGCAUAAACCUUAUUUAUUAUUGUUAUUUUUGCUUCAGUCAAUAAUAGUCUUUUACAAAAGCGCACACACACACACACACACACACACACACUUUACAUUUAUCAACAUAUUUGCUACUCUGGUGCUCUUCAUUUCUCACUGAAGAUACGGACUUCUAUCAUCAUUUACCUUUAACCUGAAGAGUUUUCUUUAGUAUUAUGGGCCUUCUGUAACAAAUUUUCUCAGCUUGUGUUUUAUUUGUAGUUUCAAAGAAUAAUUUUGCUGGAUCUAGAAAUCAGAGUUGAUAGUUACUUUCUUUAGCACAUUAAAUGGCACCCUAUUGUGUUUUUUGGUUCCCAUUGUUUUUUAUGAGAAUUAAGAAGUCAGCUUUUAUGUUUAACAUUUUUUCACUUGAAUUUAGCAAUGAGACUUUAUUCUCUGACUGCUUUUGACAUUUUCUGUUAACUUUUAAAAUUUUUGUGUUUCAACAGGUUGACUGAUAUGCCUAGAUAGGGUUUUCACUGUAUUUGUCCUACUUUAAGUUCACUGGACCUUUGGGAUCUGCAGAUUGAUACUAGUAUUAACUUUGUUAAAAAAAAAAAAAAAAAGGCAAUCAUUGCCUCUUGUCUAUUUCUUUUGUUCCAUUCUUUAUCUCUUCUCCUAGGAUUCCAGUGUAUAUUAUCUAUAGGAUUCUAUAUGUAUUAUCUCAUGGGUCUCUGUUCUAUUUAUGAUUUUUCCUCUCUUGACUCAGUUUAGAUAAUUUCAAUUCACUAAUCCUUUCUUUUACUGUGUAAUAUCCUCCUAUAGAAGGUUGCAUAAGCUAUUUAAU